Molecule: ribosomal RNA, 485 nt
Filed under: Peptostreptococcaceae bacterium canine oral taxon 096
Lineage: Bacteria; Bacillati; Bacillota; Clostridia; Peptostreptococcales; Peptostreptococcaceae
Description: bacterial SSU rRNA
Rfam family: Bacterial small subunit ribosomal RNA
Source: RNAcentral
GAGUUUGAUUCUGGCUCAGGAUGAACGCGGCGGCGUGCCUAAUACAUGCAAGUCGAGCGAGAAUUUGACAAGUGGAGACUUCGGUCAAAGCGAGUCAAAGGAAAGCGGCGGACGGGUGAGUAAUGCGUGGGUAACCUGCCCUUUGGAGAGGGAUAGCAGUUGGAAACGGCUAUUAAUACCUCAUAAGCGCACAGUUUCGCAUGAAACGGUGUGAAAAGAUUUAUCGCCAAAGGAUGGACCCAUGUCCGAUUAGUUAGUUGGUGAGGUAACGGCUCACCAAGACCGCGAUCGGUAGCCGACCUGAGAGGGUGAUCGGCCACAUUGGGACUGAGACACGGCCCAAACUCCUACGGGAGGCAGCAGUAGGGAAUAUUGCACAAUGGGGGAAACCCUGAUGCAGCAACGCCGCGUGAACGAUGAAGGAUUUCGGUCUGUAAAGUUCUUUUGCUAGGAAAGAUAAUGACGUACCUAGCGAAUAAGCACCG